This 117-nucleotide non-coding RNA is filed under the name Dolichomastix tenuilepis. The record is from RNAcentral. Lineage: Eukaryota; Viridiplantae; Chlorophyta; Mamiellophyceae; Dolichomastigales; Dolichomastigaceae.
UUUGGAUCUGCCGAGCCAGGAUUGGGACACUACGGACCUUGGCGAGUGGGACAUGUGCCAGUCGGGAGGAAGCAGCGUUCAGAAGGGGGCUUUCGCUCAUGUCGUUGGCGUUCUGGA